Molecule: non-coding RNA, 117 nt
Organism: Gorilla gorilla gorilla (western lowland gorilla)
Lineage: Eukaryota; Metazoa; Chordata; Mammalia; Primates; Hominidae
Rfam family: Metazoan signal recognition particle RNA
About the family: The signal recognition particle (SRP) is a universally conserved ribonucleoprotein.
Source: Rfam
GCCGGGCAUGGUGGCUCACGCCUGUAAUCCCAGCACUUUGGGAGGCCGAGGUGGGUGGAUCACCUGAGGUCAGGAGUUCAAGACCAGCCUGGCCAACAUGGUGAAACCCCAUCUCUA